UUUUUUUUUAUAUUUCUCUUUCUUCUCUCCUCCUGCCUCUUUCUUCGUCUUCUCUCUCUUUCUUCUUCUUUUCUCUCUUCUGCAACUCAUGGCCACCAUAUAAUUAUGGUAAUUGAUACUACUUCUUCUUCCCCAUAAGUAUAUGGCUAAUUGAAAUAACUUCUCUUUGUCAUCUUCUUCUUCUCUCUCUUUUUCUUCUUCUUUCUUCUUCUUCUCUUUCUUUAGCCUCUUCCUUUCCCUCUUCUGCAACUCAUGGCCGCCUUAAUUAUAUGAUUAAUGGACCCCAUUUCUCAUAGAUUCAAUGGCUUCUGAGUUGGAUUACUGACAGUUGGUGACUUGGUGUGCUAAAGUCGUUCAGAUCUAGCAUGUCGUCGGCAUCUUGGCAGGUGAGUUGCUGAACCAAAGUCCUAAAUUCGGAGGCGCUCGUUGUAACCUUCAACGGGUUUGAUAUGUGAAGUAUUGUGAACCACCUUCAUUGGCCACUUCUUUGAUUUGCCGCCGAAGCUUCUCAUCUUUGCUUUCUCUCUCUGGCUACCGAAAAGCCCGAAAAGCCUGAAGGACCGGCCCGUUUAUUAACGGUCCGGGCCUUGUCGGUCCUUGAAAAUGAAAAACAUAUUUUGAGCCCGACCCGAGAAUUUCGGUCCCGGUCCCGGUCCCUGUAAAAUCCAUGCCGGGCUGGGACCGUGCCC
RNAcentral lists this long non-coding RNA (689 nucleotides) under Rosa chinensis. RNAcentral's name for it is "sRNA RchiOBHm_Chr1g0351051". Lineage: Eukaryota; Viridiplantae; Streptophyta; Magnoliopsida; Rosales; Rosaceae. The record is from RNAcentral.